GAUGAACGCUAGCGGCAGGCUUAACACAUGCAAGUCGAGGGGCAGCACGGGUAGCAAUACCUGGUGGCGACCGGCGCAAGGGUGCGUAACGCGUGAGCAACAUGCCCUAUACAGGGGGAUAAUCCAGGGAAACUUGGUCUAAUAUCCCAUAGUAUUUAGAGGAGGCAUCUUCUAUAAAUUAAAGCUUCGGUGGUGUAGGAUUGGCUCGCGUGACAUUAGCUAGAUGGUGAGGUAACGGCUCACUAUGGCAAUGAUGUCUAGGGGUUCUGAGAGGAAGGCCCCCCACACUGGGACUGAGACACGGCCCAGACUCCUACGGGAGGCAGCAGUGAGGAAUAUUGGACAAUGGAUGGAAAUCUGAUCCAGCCAUGCCGCGUGCAGGAAGACAGCCCUAUGGGUUGUAAACUGCUUUUAUAUGGGAGCAAUAAGGUCUACGUGUAGACUGAUGAGAGUACCAUAUGAAUAAGC
This 468-nucleotide ribosomal RNA is filed under the name uncultured bacterium. RNAcentral's name for it is "bacterial SSU rRNA". It matches the Rfam family "Bacterial small subunit ribosomal RNA", at positions 28 to 491 of the family's 1533-position model. The record is from RNAcentral.